Molecule: transfer RNA, 77 nt
Filed under: Lentisphaerota bacterium
Lineage: Bacteria; Pseudomonadati; Lentisphaerota
Description: Lentisphaerae bacterium (anaerobic digester metagenome) tRNA-Asp
Rfam family: tRNA
About the family: Transfer RNA (tRNA) molecules are approximately 80 nucleotides in length. Their secondary structure includes four short double-helical elements and three loops (D, anti-codon, and T loops). Further hydrogen bonds mediate the characteristic L-shaped molecular structure. tRNAs have two regions of fundamental functional importance: the anti-codon, which is responsible for specific mRNA codon recognition, and the 3' end, to which the tRNAs corresponding amino acid is attached (by aminoacyl-tRNA synthetases). tRNAs cope with the degeneracy of the genetic code in two manners: having more than one tRNA (with a specific anti-codon) for a particular amino acid; and 'wobble' base-pairing, i.e. permitting non-standard base-pairing at the 3rd anti-codon position.
Source: RNAcentral
GGGAGCGUAGCACAAUUGGUUAGUGCACCGGACUGUCGAUCCGGAGGUCGCGAGUUCGAGUCUCGUCGCUCCCGCCA